UCAACUUGAUGCAAGCACCGCUAGUUUUUUCCUCUCCUUUCCUAAGUCAUGGAGUCCCCAAAACCCUACGGCCCCACAAACCCCCUUCUCUCGCUCUCCACCUUCGUCCACCAGCACUGCCACCGGCUCUGCGCCGAGCUAGCCAGCCGCUUCAAGGACACCAAGCGACUCGCUGGAACCCUAUCUGACGGCUGGCCCCCUGUGGCAAGCCGGCGUCCCCGUUCGUCGUAUCCUCCGCUGUUCGCGUCGGUAACACAGGCGAAGCAAGCCUUAGCCGCAGGUCUGAGCUCCGACCACGUGGCAAAAACCCUAACUGGCACGUCAGUCUACACUGUCAGCAAUUCGAACAAUGAGUUCGUCCUUAUCUCUGAUCCCAAUGGUGUCAACUCGAUUGGGUUGCUUUGUUUUCGCCAGGAGGACGCCGAGGCCUUCCUUGCUCAAGUUAGAACACGGAAAAGAGAACUACGAAGUGAGGCAAAGGUUGUUCCCAUUACUCUUGACCAGGUAUAUAUGUUGAAGGUCGAAGGAAUUGCAUUUCGGUUUUUGCCUGACCCUGUUCAAAUAAAGAACGCAUUGGAGCUCAAAACCGCAGAUUCCAGGAAUGGGUUUGAUGGAGUUCCUGUUUUUCAGUCCGACCUUCUGGUUGUCAAGAAGAAAAACAAGCGUUACUGUCCAAUUUACUUUACAAAGGAGGAUAUAGAAAAAGAACUGUCGAAGGUCUCUAGGGCAUCAAGAGGACUAGCAUUAUCCCAACAUAUUAUGGUUGGUAGCUUGGAAGCUGUUUUGAGAAAAAUGGAGAUGAGUGAGCGGAACUCAGGGUGGGAAGAUCUGAUUUUUAUUCCACCUGGCAAAAGCCACUCUCAACACAUUCAAGAAGUGCUUAAAGCAUGAUUCAUGUGAUGCGUGACUUCAACUGACCAUUUGAAAGGAUCUGGAAGCUGUUAGCAUACGGCAUGUUUGGUCAAAAUAAAGCAGGAAAAUUAAAGCUCUGGAGUGUGGGUUUUACAGCUAAAAAGAGAUCCAGUGAAGGUCAGGGAAAUCACCAUGUUGAGACAAAAAUUGUGGGACUGUUGUAGUUUGUGUACAGUUUCAUUGCAUUGACACAAAUGCGCCCUAUAUAUGUUGUUAAACAUAUAUAGAUCAAUUUCAAGCGAAAUCACACCUUGUAAGAGAGCUCGGCAAAUCUCUUUUAACUGCGCAUACAUGAUUUAUGGAACAUGAAUGAUCAGACGCUCAUACAAACGGCAUCUCUGCAUCUUUAUGUUUCCUCUGCCACAUAUAAUUGAAAUGGCAAUAUCUUUGUUGGAA
This is an RNA transcript of Juglans regia (Persian walnut), 1308 nucleotides long. It is a transcript of the gene named protein TIC 22, chloroplastic, with no coding region annotated. The record is from RefSeq and is a predicted model, not a curated record. The transcript is spliced from 9 exons. Lineage: Eukaryota; Viridiplantae; Streptophyta; Magnoliopsida; Fagales; Juglandaceae.